Molecule: ribosomal RNA, 438 nt
Filed under: uncultured bacterium
Lineage: Bacteria
Description: partial 16S ribosomal RNA
Rfam family: Bacterial small subunit ribosomal RNA
Source: RNAcentral
CUACGGGGCGCUGCAGUGGGGAAUAUUGCACAAUGGAGGAAACUCUGAUGCAGCAACGCCGCGUGGAGGAUGACACUUUUCGGAGCGUAAACUCCUUUUAUAUAGGAAGAAGAUGACGGUACUAUAUGAAUAAGCGCCGGCUAACUCCGUGCCAGCAGCCGCGGUAAUACGGAGGGCGCAAGCGUUACUCGGAAUCACUGGGCGUAAAGAGCGUGUAGGCUGAUUAAAAAGUCAGAAGUGAAAUCCUAUAGCUUAACUAUAGAACUGCUUCUGAAACUCUUAAUCUAGAAUAUGGGAGAGGUAGAUGGAAUUUCUGGUGUAGGGGUAAAAUCCGUAGAGAUCAGAAGGAAUACCGAUUGCGAGGCGAUCUACUAGAACAUUAUUGACGCUGAGACGCGAAAGCGUGGGGAGCAAACAGGAUUAGAUACCCUAGUAGUC